This 709-nucleotide ribosomal RNA is filed under the name Sphingobacterium mizutaii. RNAcentral describes it as "bacterial SSU rRNA". It matches the Rfam family "Bacterial small subunit ribosomal RNA", at positions 83 to 790 of the family's 1533-position model. Lineage: Bacteria; Pseudomonadati; Bacteroidota; Sphingobacteriia; Sphingobacteriales; Sphingobacteriaceae. The record is from RNAcentral.
CCGAUGGUGAGAGUGGCGCACGGGUGCGUAACGCGUGAGCAACCUGCCCAUAUCAGGGGGAUAGCCCGGAGAAAUCCGGAUUAACACCGCAUGACACUGCUUUCCGGCAUCGGGAGGUAGUCAAAUAUUCAUAGGAUAUGGAUGGGCUCGCGUGACAUUAGCUAGUUGGUGGGGUAACGGCCCACCAAGGCGACGAUGUCUAGGGGCUCUGAGAGGAGAAUCCCCCACACUGGUACUGAGACACGGACCAGACUCCUACGGGAGGCAGCAGUAAGGAAUAUUGGUCAAUGGGGGCAACCCUGAACCAGCCAUGCCGCGUGCAGGACGACUGCCCUAUGGGUUGUAAACUGCUUUUGUUAGGGAAUAAACCCCGCUACGUGUAGCGGGCUGAAUGUACCUAAAGAAUAAGGAUCGGCUAACUCCGUGCCAGCAGCCGCGGUAAUACGGAGGAUCCGAGCGUUAUCCGGAUUUAUUGGGUUUAAAGGGUGCGUAGGCGGCACUUUAAGUCAGGGGUGAAAGACGGCAGCUCAACUGUCGCAGUGCCCUUGAUACUGAAGUGCUUGAAUGCGGUUGAAGACGGCGGAAUGAGACAAGUAGCGGUGAAAUGCAUAGAUAUGUCUCAGAACACCGAUUGCGAAGGCAGCUGUCUAAGCCGUUAUUGACGCUGAUGCACGAAAGCGUGGGGAUCGAACAGGAUUAGAUACCCUGG